RNAcentral lists this ribosomal RNA (500 nucleotides) under uncultured eukaryote. RNAcentral describes it as "SSU rRNA". It matches the Rfam family "Eukaryotic small subunit ribosomal RNA", at positions 55 to 570 of the family's 1831-position model. The record is from RNAcentral.
CUGUUAGAUAGCAUGGCUGUCCUAAUUAAAUAGUAUACAGCGAAACUGCGAAUGUCUCUCUAUAACACUUAUAGUUUAUUCUAUAGAAAAAUUACGUGGAUAAGCGUGGUAAAUCUAUGGCUAAUACAUGCGCAAAGGCCCGACCCUGAAGGGCUGUGUUUGUUAUAUCUAGCCAUCAUUUGGUGAAUCAUAGUAGCUGAUUCGACCGUGCGUUAGAGCGGUAAAUCGUUCAUGUUUCUGCCCUAUCAACUUUCCAUGGCAUUGUAUUGUACUACCAUGGAAGUCACGGGUAACGGAGAAUCACGGUUCGGUUCCGGAGAGGGAGCCUGAGAAACGGCUACCACAUCUAGGGAAGGAAGCAGGCGCGUAAAUUCCCCAGUCCCGAUUCGGGGAGGGAGUGACAAUAAAUAACAACUCGAGAGGUUUACCUCUACCAAAUUGCAAUGAGAACAAUCCCAAACGCUUAACGAUAAACGAUUGGAGGGCACGUCUGGUGCCCU